CCCUAUGGGGCAGCAGCCGCGGUAAUACGUAGGGGGCAAGCGUUGUCCGGAUUUACUGGGUGUAAAGGGUGCUCAGGCGGAUUUGUAAGUCAGAGGUGAAAUCUCACAGCUUAACUGUGAAACUGCCUUUGAUACUGCAAGUCUAGAGUAUGGAAGAGAGUGAUGGAAUGUCUGGUGUAGCAGUGAAAUGCGUAGAUAUAAGAUAGAACACCAAUGGCGAAGGCAGUCACUUGGUCCAUUACUGACGCUAAAGCACGAAAGCGUGGGUAGCAAACA
RNAcentral lists this ribosomal RNA (276 nucleotides) under uncultured prokaryote. RNAcentral describes it as "partial 16S ribosomal RNA". It matches the Rfam family "Bacterial small subunit ribosomal RNA", at positions 499 to 774 of the family's 1533-position model. The record is from RNAcentral.